Molecule: ribosomal RNA, 386 nt
Filed under: uncultured bacterium
Lineage: Bacteria
Description: bacterial SSU rRNA
Rfam family: Bacterial small subunit ribosomal RNA
Source: RNAcentral
AUUGAACGCUGGCGGAAUGCUUUACACAUGCAAGUCGAACGGCAGCACGGGGCAACCUGGUGGCGAGUGGCGAACGGGUGAGUAAUAUAUCGGAACGUGCCCAAUCGUGGGGGAUAACGUAGCGAAAGUUACGCUAAUACCGCAUACGAUCUACGGAUGAAAGCGGGGGAUCGCAAGACCUCGCGCGAAUGGAGCGGCCGAUAUCAGAUUAGGUAGUUGGUGGGGUAAAGGCUCACCAAGCCAACGAUCUGUAGCUGGUCUGAGAGGACGACCAGCCACACUGGAACUGAGACACGGUCCAGACUCCUACGGGAGGCAGCAGUGGGGAAUUUUGGACAAUGGGCGCAAGCCUGAUCCAGCCAUGCCGCGUGAGUGAAGAAGGCCUC